GGUGGUUCUUGGGUGAUGCACCCUGGAAUUGGGCUUCCUCCUCUGUGGUUCCAGGUGCGUCAUCUGAGAACUACA
Molecule: non-coding RNA, 75 nt
Organism: Myotis davidii
Lineage: Eukaryota; Metazoa; Chordata; Mammalia; Chiroptera; Vespertilionidae
Source: Rfam